Molecule: ribosomal RNA, 247 nt
Filed under: uncultured bacterium
Lineage: Bacteria
Description: partial 16S ribosomal RNA
Rfam family: Bacterial small subunit ribosomal RNA
Source: RNAcentral
AGAUGGCGACCGGCGCACGGGUGAGUAACACGUAUCCAACCUGCCGAUAACUCGGGGAUAGCCUUUAAAAAGAAAGAUUAAUACCCGAUGGUAUAAUCAGACCGCAUGGUUUGAUUAUUAAAGAAUUUCGGUUAUCGAUGGGGAUGCGUUCCAUUAGGCAGUUGGUGAGGUAACGGCUCACCAAACCUUCGAUGGAUAGGGGUUCUGAGAGGAAGGUCCCCCACAUUGGAACUGAGACACGGUCCAA